RNAcentral lists this ribosomal RNA (467 nucleotides) under uncultured bacterium. Its description in RNAcentral is "partial 16S ribosomal RNA". It matches the Rfam family "Bacterial small subunit ribosomal RNA", at positions 28 to 506 of the family's 1533-position model. The record is from RNAcentral.
GACGAACGCUGGCGGCGUGCUUAACACAUGCAAGUCGAACGGAAAGGCCCUGCUUUUGUGGGGUGCUCGAGUGGCGAACGGGUGAGUAACACGUGAGUAACCUGCCCUUGACUUUGGGAUAACUUCAGGAAACUGGGGCUAAUACCGGAUAGGAGCUCCUGCUGCAUGGUGGGGGUUGGAAAGUUUCGGCGGUUGGGGAUGGACUCGCGGCUUAUCAGCUUGUUGGUGGGGUAGUGGCUUACCAAGGCUUUGACGGGUAGCCGGCCUGAGAGGGUGACCGGGCACAGUGGGACUGAGAUACGGGCCAGACUCCUACGGGAGGCAGCAGUGGGGAAUAGUGCACAAUGGGCGGAAGCCUGAUGCAGCAACGCCGCGUGCGGGAUGACGGCCUUCGGGUAGUAAACCGCUUUCGCCUGUGACGAAGCGUGAGGGACGGUAAUGGGUAAAGAAGCACCGGCUAACUACGU